Molecule: non-coding RNA, 23 nt
Filed under: Arabidopsis thaliana (thale cress)
Lineage: Eukaryota; Viridiplantae; Streptophyta; Magnoliopsida; Brassicales; Brassicaceae
Source: RNAcentral
UCCAGAAUGCUCCAUAAUCUCCA